GUGCUCGUUUCUGCAGCACAUAUACUAAAAUCGGGAUGAUACAGAGAAGAUUACUAUGGUCCCUGUGCAAGGAUUAAGUGCAAACUGGUGAACCCUUUCAUAUUUUU
Loxodonta africana (African savanna elephant) is the source of this 107-nucleotide small nuclear RNA. NCBI's taxonomy places the organism in Eukaryota, Metazoa, Chordata, Mammalia, Proboscidea, Elephantidae. The record is from RefSeq and is a predicted model, not a curated record.